RNAcentral lists this long non-coding RNA (1286 nucleotides) under Canis lupus familiaris (dog). RNAcentral describes it as "lncRNA (ENSCAFG00845018052.1)". Lineage: Eukaryota; Metazoa; Chordata; Mammalia; Carnivora; Canidae. The record is from RNAcentral.
CGAGGAGCUAAAUCCCGAGCGGCGGAGCGGGCGGCGCAGGCUGGAGCUCCCGGCCCCGCGCCCGCGCCCCGCGUGGAUGAGACGCCCGCACGGCGGCUGCGAGCGCUGCUGCGGGGCCGGCGGCCGGCGGGGCCCACGGGGGCCGGGGCUGCGCGCGGGGGCCAGGAGCCGGGCGACGAUGUGACCCCGCCGGGGACCCGCGGGCUGCGAGUGGGCCCCGAGUUUUACUUACUGGGGUAUACUUACAGACUUCAUCUGACCAUGGGAACCCUCCAUGGUUACCUCCUGCAAAACACUAUCACUUUCAAGUUGAAGUUUCUGAGAUAACGGCUUGCGGUGCUCCAUGUUGUUACCCGUAGUAGAUCUCAUCACACGUUGUCACACGUUGCACCGAGAGUGCAAAGUUUUGGCCCAGGGACCUGCACCCCUUUAAGACACUCCUUAACUCCUGUUCCCUGUUUCUACAAACACCUUAUGAUUUUUCUCUCGUGAAGUUCACCUCUGGGUUAGCAGCAGAGGUGAGAGAAAGGAAAGAGACACUUGUUGAAACGUAACCGUGACUUUUCCUGGAAUUUAAAACAUGUUGGUCACCAUGACUGGAAUUCCAGGGCCAUAAGGUCGUUGUCUUUUUUUCUUUGAUGUUAUUUUGCAAAAUGUGAUUAAAAAAAAAAUGUUGGUAAAUACAGACUGGUAAUGAGUAUUUUGAUAGGAGAAUUGUUAUGUAGGUAGUGCUAUUUUAAGUUAUUACAGAACGUUUUCUAUUUAUAAAUGAUAUAAGCAGAAAGAAAUUAUUUCCAGAUAAACAAGACUUACGUACAUGUUUUGAAGCACUAGAACAUUGCAUCCACACUUAGACAUCACAUUUUUUUUUAAAAGCAAAAUAACAGCGUGAUUUUCCACAUGCCUUUGGAGCCAUUCAUAGCCCAUUCAGAACUGAAUUAGUAACUGGAAAUCAUGUUUAUUUUAAGGUGAUAUGUAAGGUUAUUUAAGGUAUAAAGUAGGUCAACAUUUUAAGCAUCCACGGAAUAAAGCAUUAAGGAAAUCUCUUUUAGGAUGUCUUUUCAAUAAGUGUAACUUUUACUUUCGAAUGAGAGGAACCAAGAAAAUGAUCCUUUGCCUAAAAAGCAAAUGAUUCAUUUAUACUAAGUGAAUGAAUUGUCUAAAGCUCCUAAUGGCCAGAGUGGUGGGGUGGGGAGGUGCUGGGAUAUUGCUGGUUCAUUGUGAUUUACCAGGAGGGGGGGAAAUCCUGUAAAUGCAAAUUUCUAAAAUCCUGGCUUCAAGUCUUU